CAGCAGCCGCGGUAAUACGUAGGUGGCAAGCGUUGUCCGGAAUUAUUGGGCGUAAAGGGCUCGCAGGCGGUUUCUUAAGUCUGAUGUGAAAGCCCCCGGCUCAACCGGGGAGGGUCAUUGGAAACUGGGAAACUUGAGUGCAGAAGAGGAGAGUGGAAUUCCACGUGUAGCGGUGAAAUGCGUAGUGAUGUGGAGGAACACCAGUGGCGAAGGCGACUCUCUGGUCUGUAACUGACGCUGAGGAGCGAAAGCGUGGGGAGCGAACAGGAUUAGAUACCCCAGUAGUCCCUGUCUCUUAUAC
RNAcentral lists this ribosomal RNA (301 nucleotides) under uncultured bacterium. RNAcentral's name for it is "partial 16S ribosomal RNA". It matches the Rfam family "Bacterial small subunit ribosomal RNA", at positions 509 to 807 of the family's 1533-position model. The record is from RNAcentral.